This is a non-coding RNA of Bactrocera oleae (olive fruit fly), 699 nucleotides long. The record is from RefSeq and is a predicted model, not a curated record. Lineage: Eukaryota; Metazoa; Arthropoda; Insecta; Diptera; Tephritidae.
UUUCAACUCAAGAAGGUCGUUGCCGAUUUAUCAUUGGGUUUUACCAUCACGCGACUAUCGAUUUUGAUUCUCUCAUUGCUAGUCGUUCGGCUUUUCGAUUACACCAUUCAAGCUCUCGCUGGUCCAUGAGACAAAAACGAUUGGCAACAUUGUUGUCGCCAUCGUCAGCGUCGUUGCUGUUGUCGUCAUGCUAUAGUUGACUGCGCAGCUAUCGAUUGAGCGCAACUGUAUUUUGGUUUUUUACCGUUAGCUCAUGCCGCAUUCGAUUUUAUUAACGUUUUUACAUUCGUGGAGUACGCGCGCGAACCGCUCUUCAGCUAAACGGUAAAUAAAAAUGUGGUGUAAAUAAAUAUAUAUAGAAAUAUAUGUUUACAAGUGUGCGAAGGAUUAUUUGUGCUGCUGGGGAUAAAUAAGGAUUAACAGAUUUUAAUAAAAGUGUAUAUGAAUAUUGCAAAGUGUGCGAAGAAAGUUGAGUUGGGAAAAGUGUUGCAGAAACGAUUGAAACGCGUUGUGCCGCAGAUUUAUCACAGUGCUUAUAGUAUAAUUGCGGAUAUCGUUUGGAAUAACAAGCUGUGCAUUAUAUACUUUUACAUACUUUUACUGCGAUUACCUCAAGCUGUUUUCUAAAUAUAGCCAAUUCGCCUCCCCGUUUUGUGUAUGCAGCUAAUAACAUGAAGUUGCACAGUCGAACUCGACAGC